Molecule: ribosomal RNA, 384 nt
Filed under: Salmonella enterica subsp. enterica serovar Infantis
Lineage: Bacteria; Pseudomonadati; Pseudomonadota; Gammaproteobacteria; Enterobacterales; Enterobacteriaceae
Also listed under: 33 other names
Description: partial 23S ribosomal RNA
Rfam family: Bacterial large subunit ribosomal RNA
Source: RNAcentral
GAUUCGUCACACUAUCAUUAACUGAAUCCAUAGGUUAAUGAGGCGAACCGGGGGAACUGAAACAUCUAAGUACCCCGAGGAAAAGAAAUCAACCGAGAUUCCCCCAGUAGCGGCGAGCGAACGGGGAGGAGCCCAGAGCCUGAAUCAGCAUGUGUGUUAGUGGAAGCGUCUGGAAAGGCGCGCGAUACAGGGUGACAGCCCCGUACACAAAAGCGCAUGUGCUGUGAGCUCGAUGAGUAGGGCGGGACACGUGGUAUCCUGUCUGAAUAUGGGGGGACCAUCCUCCAAGGCUAAAUACUCCUGACUGACCGAUAGUGAACCAGUACCGUGAGGGAAAGGCGAAAAGAACCCCGGCGAGGGGAGUGAAAAAGAACCUGAAACCGU